Molecule: ribosomal RNA, 465 nt
Filed under: uncultured bacterium
Lineage: Bacteria
Description: partial 16S ribosomal RNA
Rfam family: Bacterial small subunit ribosomal RNA
Source: RNAcentral
GACGAACGCUGGCGGCGUGCUUAACACAUGCAAGUCGUACGGUAAGGCCCUUUCGGGGGUCCACGAGUGGCGAACGGGUGAGUAACACGUGAGUAACCUGCCCACAACUUUGGGAUAACGCUAGGAAACUGGUGCUAAUACUGGAUAUGUGCCCCUGCUGCAUGGUGGGGGUUGGAAAGCUCCGGCGGUUGUGGAUGGACUCGCGGCCUAUCAGCUUGUUGGUGGGGUAGUGGCCUACCAAGGCGGCGACGGGUAGCCGGCCUGAGAGGGUGACCGGCCACAUUGGGACUGAGAUACGGCCCAGACUCCUACGGGAGGCAGCAGUGGGGAAUAUUGCACAAGGGGCGCAAGCCUGAUGCAGCAACGCCGCGUGCGGGAUGACGGCCUUCGGGUUGGAAACCGCUUUCAGCAGGGACGAAGCUUUUUGUGACGGUACCUGCAGAAGAAGCACCGGCUAACUACGUG